RNAcentral lists this ribosomal RNA (404 nucleotides) under Actinomycetes bacterium. RNAcentral's name for it is "Actinobacteria bacterium partial 16S ribosomal RNA". It matches the Rfam family "Bacterial small subunit ribosomal RNA", at positions 355 to 776 of the family's 1533-position model. The record is from RNAcentral. Lineage: Bacteria; Bacillati; Actinomycetota; Actinomycetes.
UGGGGAAUAUUGGACAAUGGGCGCAAACCUGAUCCAGCCAUGCCGCGUGAGUGAUGAAGGCCCUAGGGUUGUAAAGCUCUUUCACCGGUGAAGAUAAUGACGGUAACCGGAGAAGAAGCCCCGGCUAACUUCGUGCCAGCAGCCGCGGUAAUACGAAGGGGGCUAGCGUUGUUCGGAUUUACUGGGCGUAAAGCGCACGUAGGCGGACUUUUAAGUCAGGGGUGAAAUCCCGGGGCUCAACCCCGGAACUGCCUUUGAUACUGGAAGUCUUGAGUAUGGUAGAGGUGAGUGGAAUUCCGAGUGUAGAGGUGAAAUUCGUAGAUAUUCGGAGGAACACCAGUGGCGAAGGCGGCUCACUGGACCAUUACUGACGCUGAGGUGCGAAAGCGUGGGGAGCAAACAGG